AUACGAGUGCCCCAAGCGUUAUCCGGAUUUAUUGGGCGUAAAGCGUCUGUAGGCGGUUUAUUAAGUUUCUCGUCAAAUCCUGAGGCUCAACCUCAGGACUGCGAGAAAUACUGGUAAACUAGAGGACGGGAGAGGUAGAUGGAAUUGCCGGUGUAGCGGUUAAAUGUGUUAAUAUCGGCAAGAACACCAAAUGCGAAGGCUUUCUACUGGAACGUUCCUGACGCUCAGAGACGAAAGCGUGGGUAGCGAAUGGGAUUAGAAACCCGAGUAGUCC
Molecule: ribosomal RNA, 274 nt
Filed under: uncultured bacterium
Lineage: Bacteria
Description: partial 16S ribosomal RNA
Rfam family: Bacterial small subunit ribosomal RNA
Source: RNAcentral